RNAcentral lists this long non-coding RNA (547 nucleotides) under Cyanistes caeruleus (blue tit). Its description in RNAcentral is "lncRNA (ENSCCEG00000022735.1)". Lineage: Eukaryota; Metazoa; Chordata; Aves; Passeriformes; Paridae. The record is from RNAcentral.
CUAAUUUUGCAGCCAGAGACACUGAAACAUACCGAAGGUGAAAAUUGCUCCAGUUUUCUCACAAUGUUGGGCUACAGGACUUGGAAUUCUCCAGGUAUCAUGGAAAACUGUGGUCAGACACCUUCAGCAGAGGGGACAUACAAUGAGACCUUUGCACCACUGUGAAAUUACAUUCUGUCAGAAGACUUCUGCUAUCAAGAUCAGUCAAUCCAGGACUGCAGCCACAGCCUGAAGCCUACAAUGGAUCUAAAUCAGCCUUUUACUGAGGAGGUUGUCCACUCAGUGAUGUUAUCACCCUUACAUAAAUGUACUACCAGAAGCUUGGUAGUAUUUUCAUGAUUAUCAUAGGAAUAUAUAAUUUGGUAUAUUCUCCAUUUGGAAUGAACCUUUUCAGUUAAAAGAAAAUUUAAAUUCCUGGAGAUCUGAGAUUGACAUCCUAUAGCACUAAAUAGGAACAUCUUUUGUUCCUAAAAGAUGUGAGAAACAGAAAAGUUUUACACAGGGCAUGAAAAAUAAAUAGAAACCCAGAAUACUUAUGAAUAUUUUA